UUGUUGUGUGAAAGGAGUGAAGGUUAGCACUUCCCUUGAUAAGGAUGGAAGACCCCUGCGGCUUGUACAAUGCAUGUGGUUAAGGCAUUGCUGCUUACUUCAGAGUAGCAUCUAUAAAAAAUUAU
RNAcentral lists this non-coding RNA (125 nucleotides) under Salvator merianae (Argentine black and white tegu). Lineage: Eukaryota; Metazoa; Chordata; Lepidosauria; Squamata; Teiidae. The record is from RNAcentral.